CAGUAGAUUGAAGCAUUUCCAUGGAAAAAGCAGUUGUGAAUAGUCCUCUGUUAUGCUAGAAAGUGUUUGUUUUGGUGUGUUCAUCACCUUCACAUGCCUUGUACGAACAUAAUCCAAGUAUGAAUUUUUGUUCUUUUUUUCCUUUUUUUUAAAUUCCAUUUUUUGACAAUCAAGUGCAUUGUGCAAAAUUUUCAAUCUGUGGAUUAUGGGCCAAAUUACAGUUAGACUAUAGUGGAAGCCUUGUGGGCACAACCACCAUGCAAAAUUACCUGUCACUCAUCUCAUUUUUUUCUU
Molecule: unclassified non-coding RNA, 294 nt
Filed under: Hevea brasiliensis (rubber tree)
Lineage: Eukaryota; Viridiplantae; Streptophyta; Magnoliopsida; Malpighiales; Euphorbiaceae
Source: RNAcentral